UACAGAGGCCCCAAGCGUUAGGCGGAAUCACUGGGCGUAAAGGGUGCGUAGGCGGGUCUUUAAGUCAGGGGUGAAAUCCUGGAGCUCAACUCCAGAACUGCCUUUGAUACUGAGGAUCUUGAGUUCGGGAGAGGUGAGUGGAACUGCGAGUGUAGAGGUGAAAUUCGUAGAUAUUCGCAAGAACACCAGUGGCGAAGGCGGCUCACUGGCCCGAUACUGACGCUGAGGCACGAAAGCGUGGGGAGCAAACAGG
Molecule: ribosomal RNA, 253 nt
Filed under: uncultured bacterium
Lineage: Bacteria
Description: partial 16S ribosomal RNA
Rfam family: Bacterial small subunit ribosomal RNA
Source: RNAcentral